GUUUACUUUAAUUGCAAUGGGAAGCCAUAGGAUGGUUGGGAAUAAGACAGUGACAGGACAGGAAGUCCGGAAAAGAGGCUCUAAGGAGGCAAGGAGACCAUUUCAAUCUGGGCAAGGUGGAAAAAAAUGAACUAUAAACAGUUGAAAUAACUCACCCAAGAUACUCAGCUAGAUAUGUGUGGUUUGAAGAGCUAGCAGCAACAUUUUGUUCUUUAUGCAAUUAUUCACAUGAGCCAGCAUGAAAUAUGAAGACAAAGGGAGAAGGACAAAAGAGGAGGAAGUGAUGGAGGAGACUGCUGUCAAUAUUGGUGACUGUGCAAUUCAAGUAAGACAAGGCUUGUGACACUGAGAAAUUGCCCUCAUAAAUCCUCUCGUCUCUCCUCUUUCAGUCCCUCUCCUGUCUAAUAUGCUCAGGUAUCUCUCAUCUUCGUUAAAAAUUAAAAAAUUCCUUCACCCUG
Molecule: long non-coding RNA, 458 nt
Organism: Felis catus (domestic cat)
Lineage: Eukaryota; Metazoa; Chordata; Mammalia; Carnivora; Felidae
Exons: 4
Source: RefSeq, a predicted model, not a curated record